GUUUGAUUCUGGCUCAGGAUGAACGCUGGCGGCGUGCUUAACACAUGCAAGUCGAACGGGCUCAUAUUGAAACCUAGUGAUGUAUGAGUUAGUGGCGGACGGGUGAGUAACGCGUGGAGAACCUGCCGUAUACUGGGGGAUAACACUUAGAAAUAGGUGCUAAUACCGCAUAAGCGCACAGCUUCGCAUGAAGCAGUGUGAAAAACUCCGGUGGUAUACGAUGGAUCCGCGUCUGAUUAGCUGGUUGGCGGGGUAACAGCCCACCAAGGCGACGAUCAGUAGCCGGCCUGAGAGGGUGAACGGCCACAUUGGGACUGAGACACGGCCCAAACUCCUACGGGAGGCAGCAGUGGGGAAUAUUGCACAAUGGGGGAAACCCUGAUGCAGCGACGCCGCGUGAGUGAAGAAGUAUUUCGGUAUGUAAAGCUCUAUCAGCAGGGAAGAAAAUGACGGUACCUGACUAAGAAGCCCCGGCUAACUACGUGCCAGCAGCCGCGGUAAUACGUAGGGGGCAAGCGUUAUCCGGAUUUACUGGGUGUAAAGGGAGCGUAGACGGCAGCGCAAGUCUGAAGUGAAAUCCCAUGGCUUAACCAUGGAACUGCUUUGGAAACUGUGC
RNAcentral lists this ribosomal RNA (616 nucleotides) under uncultured bacterium. RNAcentral describes it as "bacterial SSU rRNA". It matches the Rfam family "Bacterial small subunit ribosomal RNA", at positions 11 to 638 of the family's 1533-position model. The record is from RNAcentral.